GGCGGGUCCAGAGGACGUCAGACUUGGUCUGCAGGUACAGUAGGCCUUCACUCCCAGGCGAAUAAUUCGUGAUUCUUGCGGCAUUUCCAGGUUGCUGGAUUCCUCAGCUACAAGUCUGUGAUAUAUGAAGUAAGGAGAAAACCCAGGAAACUUAGCACCAUGUUGUUCCUUGGGAUGAAGCUUGAGGAAAAAAAAGUCCUUUAUAUACUUCCUCCAUAACUCAGUUGAAAUAUGUUGGGAUUAUUCAAAAGAAACUUCACUGAAAAACCUAAGGGAAGAGAAGAAGGGAGCAAAAAAAGAAAAUAAAGUCUGUAACACAAGUACUGUAAUAAAUAACACCCUUCAGGAUGGACCCAGGAUGAGAUGCUGGUUGGGUGGCUUGUGGAGUUAGGCAACACUGCCCCCUAGAGGUUAUCACUAUGCUCUGUGCCAAGCCACCCUCCAACUCUCAGAAUGUUCAGAGAACUUUUGCCAUAGAGCAUUCCAGGACUGUACAGUGGGAGCCCAGCCACAUCCAUUAACAUGCGUGGAUCCCAGGAACCCUGUGGGAAAGAAAAUGACUUGGAAACUCCAAGAUGCAGACAUGUGCAGAUCAGCUCUCUUGAAGAUAACUAGAGCUUCCUGGAAGGAGCUAGACAGGAGAGAAACAAUAGGGUUCCUGAGAGAGAAUUGCCAAGAGAGAAAAGUAUGGCUAAGUGAGUCUGCCUGAACGUGAGGGCCUGGAAAUCCAGGAAUGAGGGAUCUUAGGAACAGUGUCUGUGCCUGGCCUUCUGCUUAAUCAGUCUCCCCAAGAAGCACAUGUGUUCCAGGAGGGGGAGGACUGUGGUAUGAAGAGGGGAGGCAGGCAGGGGGACCAAUCUACCACUUUGUCCAGGACUGUUCUACUUUUAUCGAUUAAAUCCCUGAAGUCUGGGAAACUUCUCAGUUCUGAGCAAACCAAAAAGUUGUUCACCACAGAGGCAGCUCACCAGGGGCCAAGUGCUCUGCUGUGGGAACUCCCUAGUAAGGAGCUGAUCAGAAGAAAUAGCCAACAUUUCCCUGAUGCGUAGACAGGAAGGAGACCCAUGAGUCUGGUGGGCCAGAGGACAUGAGCAACACUGCGCUGCUUACUGGUAGGCAGAACAAAAGAACACCAGACACACAGACACCCAAACAUUCAGAAGAGCCAGACAGAACAGAUACAUUACCUAAGCAAAAGGGGGACAAAAAUUAGACCGACAGCUGACUAAUCUAGAGGAAAAGUAAAAGCUGGAAGAUAAUGGCAUAAUAUCUUCAAAUAGUUGUAAGAAAAUAAUGUCAACCUAGAAUUGUCUUUCCGGAGAAAUUAUCUUUCAAGAACAAGGGUGAAAUAAAUACAUGUUCAGAUAAAUAAAACUCAGAAAAUAGAUCAUCAAAAGACUCUAACUAAAGGAAAGCCUAAAGUUCCACUGUCCAAUAUGGUAGACACUAGCCACAUGUGACUAUUUAAAUUAAUUAAAAUAAAAUAAAAUUAAAAGUUCAGUAACUCAGUCAAAUCAUCACAUUUCAAGUGCUUAAUAGCCAUACAUGACUAGUGGCUACCAUAUUGAACAGUGCAGAUAUAGAAUAUUUCCACAAUUGUAGAAAGUUCUUUUGAACAACACGUUAAAAAGUAUAUGUCAACAGAAGGAAACUGUUCUAGAAAGAAUAUCUGAGAUGCAAAGUGAAAGGUCAAGUAAAUAAAAUGGUAAAUGUGAGAGUAAAUCUAAGCAAACACUGAUGAUGUAAAAUAACAUUUAUGUCUGCUCAGUCUAGAAUUACCAUAUGACCUGACAAUCCCACUACUAGGUAUAUACCCGAAAGGAUUGAAAGCAGUAAGUCGAACAGAUAUUUGCACACCAAUG
Long non-coding RNA from Choloepus didactylus (southern two-toed sloth), 1862 nucleotides. RefSeq lists it as uncharacterized. The transcript has 3 exons. The record is from RefSeq and is a predicted model, not a curated record. NCBI's taxonomy places the organism in Eukaryota, Metazoa, Chordata, Mammalia, Pilosa, Megalonychidae.